CAGGAGGAGAGGAGGACGACAGCAAAGAGGAAGAAUCUGGAUAUAAGAAAGUCUUUUUCAAAGAAACCUGUGACAGAGGCAGCUCUGCCAUGUUGUAGCUCAGAGGUGAAGAGGCGAGCUCACAGGUGGCAAUAUGUCCUUGUGCAGUCAGAGGGGAGGAGCCAGGGCCAAAGCUGAGGCACAUCAAGCACAGAAUAAUACUUUUAAUCUGAGGAUAAAACGCAGGUACUGAGGCUGAAAGAAGCUUCAGUGCUCUCAGAAGACUAAAAAGAUGGGUAAGGUUAACAAUGACUCAAAUGAGAUUAAACAAUGCUGCUGUGUGUCCACCAGGAGAGGCUGGACAGUAUAGAUGGAAAACCAAUAUGCCAGCAGUUUAUCUCAGUUAACGAGAGGAGCAGGCAUGUGUUUGGCUGCUUCACAUAGUGGACAUUGAGUUGUUGUGUGGGACACCAGUAGCUGUAACAGUGUGGAGCAGGGAAAUUAUUUUACUGCUAUUGUUAAAUAAUCAUCAUCAUUACCAUUGCAUUAAUAAUAGAAUCUGCAGCAUUGAUAUUGUAUUCAGAGGUUCAAACAGUGUGUGUCUUUUAGAAAGAAUAAGUUGCAGGCUGACAGGAAGUUGCAGAGAGUUUGCAGAAGGGAAAGCAGAAGUGAAAGCAGAGUCUAAGUUAUUCUGAGCAGGUUAGACGAGGCUAUUUGAAUUACUAGCUUAUUCAAAUUGUCUGUUAUACUUUUAUAUUCUUUUAUUAAGCUCUUAGUAGAGGUUCUUGAUUAAAACAUUUAUUCAACAUAGUACAUAUAGUUUCAGUUAGGUUAUUACACAUAAGGAUGAGCCUCUGGUCUGGUAAAAGGUCAGAAGUGCAACGGGUGAGAUGAGAGGGCAUGUAGGGUCAACACAUACACACACACACAUUAGCAGACUCAUUUAUAGGUGAGAGGUUGGUCAUGUUUGUCUCUGGAAAGAGGAACAGCGUCUGGUAGGAUGUGGGGCUCGUGUUCCAGACGAGACGAAGACAACGUUCUUUUAAACUGUGUUAAAAGUCAUUGUGGUUUUGAUCUGACGUGUGUAUAUAUUCUGUCUGUGACGUAUGAAGGGGCGUCGUUAAUUCAAAC
Molecule: long non-coding RNA, 1110 nt
Organism: Astatotilapia calliptera (eastern happy)
Lineage: Eukaryota; Metazoa; Chordata; Actinopteri; Cichliformes; Cichlidae
Source: Ensembl